UCUUUCUUGUCGGAGUGCCGCCGCCGGGCGGCUGAGAUUGCGAAAGCAAAAUCCGUAGAACCUGUCGGGGUAAUGCCUGCGUAGGAAACAAACCUUCCCUGCCC
This 104-nucleotide non-coding RNA is filed under the name Neisseria lactamica 020-06. It matches the Rfam family "TPP riboswitch aptamer (THI element)". From Rfam's summary of the family: Vitamin B(1) in its active form thiamin pyrophosphate (TPP) is an essential coenzyme that is synthesised by coupling of pyrimidine and thiazole moieties in bacteria. The previously detected thiamin-regulatory element, thi box was extended, resulting in a new, highly conserved RNA secondary structure, the THI element, which is widely distributed in eubacteria and also occurs in some archaea. Analysis of operon structures identified a large number of new candidate thiamin-regulated genes, mostly transporters, in various prokaryotic organisms. The record is from RNAcentral. Lineage: Bacteria; Pseudomonadati; Pseudomonadota; Betaproteobacteria; Neisseriales; Neisseriaceae.